GGUGAACGCUGGCGGCGUGCUUAAGACAUGCAAGUCGAACGCAGUCUUCGGACUGAGUGGCGCACGGGUGAGUAACACGUAACUGACCUACCCCCAAGUCGCGGAUAACUGGCCGAAAGGUCAGCUAAUACGUGAUGUGAUGUCCCCUUUCUGGGGGGCCGUUAAAGGUUUACUGCUUGGGGAUGGGGUUGCGUUCCAUCAACUAGUUGGCGGGGUAAAGGCCCACCAAGGCAACGACGGAUAGCCGGCCUGAGAGGGUGGCCGGCCACAGGGGCCCUGAGACACGGGUCCCACUCCUACGGGAGGCAGCAGUUAGGAAUCUUCCACAAUGGGCGAAAGCCUGAUGGAGCGACGCCGCGUGAGGGAUGAAGGUUCUCGGAUCGUAAACCUCUGAAUCAGGGACGAAAGACGCGUAAGCGGGAUGACGGUACCUGAGUAAUAGCACCGGCUAACUCCGUGCCAGCAGCCGCCGUAA
Molecule: ribosomal RNA, 475 nt
Filed under: uncultured bacterium
Lineage: Bacteria
Description: partial 16S ribosomal RNA
Rfam family: Bacterial small subunit ribosomal RNA
Source: RNAcentral